RNAcentral lists this ribosomal RNA (482 nucleotides) under uncultured bacterium. Its description in RNAcentral is "partial 16S ribosomal RNA". It matches the Rfam family "Bacterial small subunit ribosomal RNA", at positions 30 to 507 of the family's 1533-position model. The record is from RNAcentral.
AUUGAACGCUGGCGGCAUGCCUUACACAUGCAAGUCGAACGGUAACGGGCCUUCGGGUGCCGACGAGUGGCGAACGGGUGAGUAAUACAUCGGAACGUGCCCGAUCGUGGGGGAUAACGAGGCGAAAGCUUUGCUAAUACCGCAUACGAUCUACGGAUGAAAGCAGGGGACCGCACGGCCUUGCGCGGACGGAGCGGCCGAUGGCAGAUUAGGUAGUUGGUGGGAUAAAAGCUUACCAAGCCGACGAUCUGUAGCUGGUCUGAGAGGAUGAUCAGCCACACUGGGACUGAGACACGGCCCAGACUCCUACGGGAGGCAGCAGUGGGGAAUUUUGGACAAUGGGCGCAAGCCUGAUCCAGCCAUGCCGCGUGCAGGAUGAAGGCCUUCGGGUUGUAAACUGCUUUUGUACGGAACGAAAAGCCUUCUUUUAAUACAGGAGGGUCAUGACGGUACCGUAAGAAUAAGCACCGGCUAACUACGUG